RNAcentral lists this long non-coding RNA (1118 nucleotides) under Nicotiana benthamiana. Its description in RNAcentral is "long non-coding RNA (NBEN_LNC017772)". Lineage: Eukaryota; Viridiplantae; Streptophyta; Magnoliopsida; Solanales; Solanaceae. The record is from RNAcentral.
GAACAACUGUCAAAGUACAUUUUCCGACACAAUGGCGGUAGUAAGAAUCGGACUGGUGAGAUUCAAGGGACAUUUGCUGGAUUCAUGACCCAGUGUGGGACAGAUACACCCAUUGAGCACUCACUUUCCACAGACGAUGCUGUAUGUAGACUUGCUUUUCUAUCUUUUUACCUUGUUUUACUCUAGCUUGUUAUUUGCGUCAGGAAACGUGCUUAUAGUAUGUCCAUAUAUUGUUAAUAGGCAUGUUCCAUAUGUCUCUCUACUUAUGAUGAUGAAGAUGUACUCCGAGAACUUCCCUGUGGUCACCAUUUUCACUGUGCUUGUAUUGACAAAUGGCUAUAUAUGAGUGCAACCUGUCCCCUUUGCAAGCGCAGCAUCGUUGGGGCUAGCUGUUGCAGUGAAGAAGUUUAGAAGAGGAUCAUUGAGAUAUGUCCAUAUAUUGUUAAUAGGCAUGUUCCAUAUGUCUCUCUACUUAUGAUGAUGGAGAAGAACUCCGAGAACUUCCCUGUGGUCACCAUUUUCACUGUGCUUGUAUUGACAAAUGGCUAUAUAUGAGUGCAACCUGUCCCCUUUGCAAGCGCAGCAUCGUUGGGGCUAGCUGUUGCAAUGGAGAAGUUUAGAAGAGGAUCAUUGAGAAGAAUGCAGGUGUUUGUUGCGAGUUUUUACACAUGCUGUUAUUUCAAUACAGAGUCAUAGCUAUGUUUUUCCUGCCUGCUAUUGUUUGGGCAGCUGUAUUCUUCUCUUAGACCACCAACCUUGAGUAUGUACAUAUGAACAGAUAACUCUUUGCCACUAUCUAUAAAGAUAUAUACAUAUGCUAGUGCAGAUAAAUACACAUACUUGCGCUGGAAACAGGAGCUCAAGACAUAGGAAUUUUAUGCAGAAAUAAGGUAUGUUCAUUCAGAAGCCCUUCAAAGGACGCAGGCAAACUUUCACAUUGAACUAAAUUUUCCUUUCAGUUGCAAUAUGAAAACCGCAAAAGGCAGCAAGCUGCCUCUGACACCAUAGGCGAAUGAGACAUGCUGGAUAUAUAAGUAAAAUAUGUCUUAGACCUUAAUGGUGCGUUUUAAAGUCGUGCAGAUCUAGGUCAAACGCGGACAAUAUUACUAGUGGGCUGG